CACAAACAAUAAAAACAUACUUAGAGAUGCGAAAAUCAUAAGAGGUGCGAUUUAAUGCAUAUAUUAAGAAAUCAUUAAAGGUAAAUUUGCCUCUGGUGUUUGUUCGUUUGUGGAGGAUAAACAUACAUCAAUGAAUCUACACAAUCCAAUGCAAGAACGCAGUUCAGUGCUAUCACGAUAUGAGCAAUGGCAUGCUAGACCUAGUUUAUUGACGCUGCUCCCACCCAGAUUCAGUUUGGCGAGCAAUUACAUGCCAGACGAGCCUAAACACAACACUCGGAUGUUAUAUACCGAUGACAAAGGGCAAAGGACAGAUGGUCAACCAGGUCAAGAAGGCGCUGAAUAGUUCCAUUAAGAUGAUAUACUGUGUGCAUUUUCAUUCGGCAAACAACAAACAGAGGAAUUAUGGUUUCUGAAUUAUGAACUGAAGGAGGAGGUGAGAAUCUGAGGUGGCCUAGAACUAGAAAGAUUCUGAGAUUUUGGCUGGUGCUAAGUCUGCGUAGGGACUGUCUAGUUCCCUGCUUUGAUUUGUUCCUCCUUUUAUUUUUCUUGGGUUUUCUCCUAGCCACAUGUGUAGAUCUGAACAGUUUCCUGCUUAGUACUCCACAGCAGCAACUCUUUUGCUGCGUUAUUUAUACAAAAAAACAUGGUUUCCUUGAAUGAUACUGUAGUGUGUAAACAAAAAGAAGAUAGUAAGAAACUGAAGGAAAUGGUAGGGUGGAUAUUCCUCUAGGAUUAAAGCCUUCACCGAAUUCUCUAUCGAAAAACUCAGCCAUCUGAAAACUAAUCCGACAGAAGCUUUCUCCUGGAUCUGUUGCUCCAUACAGACACACGUCUCACUCUGAAAACUAAUCCCACAGAAAGUUUCUCCUGGAUCUGUUGCUCCAUACAGACACACGUCUCACUCUGAAAACUAAUCCCACAGAAAGUUUCUCCUGGAUCUGUUGCUCCAUACAGACACACGUCUCACUCUGAAAACUAAUCCGACAGAAGCUUUCUCCUGGAUCUUUGGCUCCAUACAGACACAGGUCAUUACCCAGCCCAACCACCAUCCAGGACCCCUAAUCAACGCAGCACCUGUUACGAAUCCAACUAGGCUCAGGGGGAGGCUGUUAAGCCGCAAGACCUGAACCCCAAGAACUUGAUAUCUACAAGGCCAUAUCAAAGAACAGGGAAUCCUGCGUCCCAUUGACCCCAAGCACCUACCACCCGAAACCAAGAAAAGAAGGCGGAAACAGCACGCAAAGCGCCCCCCAAGCGCCCGACGGAAAGCUGGAGCAGCAAGCAAUCGACGAUUGAGGUGGGGUGAGGGGGGCGAGCACGUACG
RNAcentral lists this long non-coding RNA (1327 nucleotides) under Hordeum vulgare. RNAcentral describes it as "long non-coding RNA (HVUL_LNC013843)". Lineage: Eukaryota; Viridiplantae; Streptophyta; Magnoliopsida; Poales; Poaceae. The record is from RNAcentral.